UACGGGGGGGCAAGCGUUGUUCGGAAUUACUGGGCGUAAAGGGCUCGGUAGGUGGCCAACUAAGUCAGACGUGAAAUCCCUCGGCUUAACCGGGGAACUGCGUCUGAUACUGGAUGGCUUGAGUUUGGGAGAGGAUGCGGAAUUCCAGGUGGUAGCGGUGAAAUGCGUAGAUAUCUGGAGGAACACCGGUGGCGAAAGGCGGCGAUCCUGGACCAAGACUGACGCUGAGGCGCGAAAGCGUGGGGAGCAAACAGGAUUGAGAAACCCCGGUAGGUCCAAGAU
RNAcentral lists this ribosomal RNA (282 nucleotides) under uncultured bacterium. Its description in RNAcentral is "partial 16S ribosomal RNA". It matches the Rfam family "Bacterial small subunit ribosomal RNA", at positions 524 to 801 of the family's 1533-position model. The record is from RNAcentral.